CUACACCAGGCACACUGACUCUCAGAAGCUGGUGGAGGAUUAAAGCUGAUUCUGCUCUGGUGAAUUGUUUACUGAACAAAGGUGACUUAAGGAGACCUCAGUGAGGUUCUAGAUCAGAAUGCGGAACUCUCAGGCUGCGGUUCUUCUCCUGCUGUUGGUGACGUUUGUUCCCACUAAAGCUGGAGUAAUUGAGGAUGUACUGAGUA
Long non-coding RNA from Astyanax mexicanus (Mexican tetra), 206 nucleotides. RefSeq lists it as uncharacterized. Lineage: Eukaryota; Metazoa; Chordata; Actinopteri; Characiformes; Acestrorhamphidae. The transcript has 3 exons. The record is from RefSeq and is a predicted model, not a curated record.